This 253-nucleotide ribosomal RNA is filed under the name uncultured bacterium. Its description in RNAcentral is "partial 16S ribosomal RNA". It matches the Rfam family "Bacterial small subunit ribosomal RNA", at positions 524 to 776 of the family's 1533-position model. The record is from RNAcentral.
UACGUAGGUGACAAGCGUUGUCCGGAUUUACUGGGCGUAAAGAGCGCGCAGGCGGUCGAUCAAGUCGAGUGUGAAAGCCCCCGGCUCAACUGGGGAGGGUCAUUCGAUACUGAUCGACUCGAAGGCAGGAGAGGGUAGUGGAAUUCCCGGUGUAGUGGUGAAAUGCGCAGAUAUCAGGAGGAACACCGGUGGCGAAGGCGGUGGUCUGGGCCGGCACUGACGCUGAGGAGCGAAAGCGUGGGGAGCGAACAGG